This 779-nucleotide unclassified non-coding RNA is filed under the name Hevea brasiliensis (rubber tree). Lineage: Eukaryota; Viridiplantae; Streptophyta; Magnoliopsida; Malpighiales; Euphorbiaceae. The record is from RNAcentral.
AAUUGUUAGCAGCAAGUUUAUCCAUAUGAUUCGAGUUGUUUGCUGGACGCGAAACAUGAUUGGGUCGAGACUAGUUGUUGUGAUAUGAUGGUUUGGCAGCAAAAUUUGCUAUAAUUGGAACUGUGGUAGAAGAAGAUGAGCAAAUUAGAUUCUGCUCAAAAUCAAGGAGCCUUCUCAUGAAGCUCUUCAAAUGUCAAUGGAGUUUCCCGGGCGCAUAGAGCUGUAGUGAUAGUGUCAUAUUCGGCUGGAAGUCCAUGAAGAACAUGAAGGAAGGGCUCAUCCAUUGAGAUUUGAACUCCAGCAGAGGCUAAAGUGCUGCAGAUUUGUUUUAUAUUCUGAAGAUAUGAAUUAACAGAAAGUUUACCUUUUUUCAUGUCUCUCUAAGACUUAAUAUACGAGCGUCUGAUGGCUUCGCAUAGGUUACUGUCAGAUUUUUCCAGAGAGCACAUGAAGAUUUGGCAUCAAUGACAAAAGGAACAAUAUCAUAAGAUAGAGAGGCAACAAUGGCACUCCAAAUGAGAUGGUCUUGUCGUUGAUGAAAAGGUGUGGCUAUUGAACUUGGUGGUUGUUCAAUAAAGUGAAAGAAAUUGUAUGCACUAAGGAUGAUUUCCCACUAAUAUUAUGAUAUUUCCAUGACUAAGAGUUUGUAUUGUUGAGCUUUAGAGGUGCCUGAGCGACAACAUUGUAUUAAUCAACUGCUCAUUGUUAUUCAUGGUGAGAAUUAUUGGAGAAUUUGGUACAGAUAUAGGAAAAUGUGUGGCUGUGAUUUUCUCAGUGGA